UACGGGGGGGGCAAGCGUUGUUCGGAAUUACUGGGCGUAAAGCGCACGUAGGCGGCUUUGUAAGUUAGAGGUGAAAGCCCAGGGCUUAACCCUGGAAUUGCCUUUAAGACUGCAUCGCUAGAAUCGUGGAGAGGUGAGUGGAAUUCCGAGUGUAGAGGUGAAAUUCGUAGAUAUUCGGAAGAACACCAGUGGCGAAGGCGACUCACUGGACACGUAUUGACGCUGAGGUGCGAAAGCGUGGGGAGCAAACAGG
This 253-nucleotide ribosomal RNA is filed under the name uncultured bacterium. RNAcentral's name for it is "partial 16S ribosomal RNA". It matches the Rfam family "Bacterial small subunit ribosomal RNA", at positions 524 to 776 of the family's 1533-position model. The record is from RNAcentral.